CAGCAGCCGCGGUAAUACGUAGGUGGCAAGCGUUGUCCGGAAUUAUUGGGCGUAAAGGGCUCGCAGGCGGUUUCUUAAGUCUGAUGUGAAAGCACCCGGCUCAACCGGGGAGGGUCAUUGGAAACUGGGAAACUUGAGUGCAGAAGAGGAGAGUGGAAUUCCACGUGUAGCGGUGAAAUGCGUAGAGAUGUGGAGGAACACCAGUGGCGAAGGCGACUCUCUGGUCUGUAACUGACGCUGAGGAGCGAAAGCGUGGGGAGCGAACAGGAUUAGAUACCCCCGUAGUCCCUGUCUCUUAUAC
Molecule: ribosomal RNA, 301 nt
Filed under: uncultured bacterium
Lineage: Bacteria
Description: partial 16S ribosomal RNA
Rfam family: Bacterial small subunit ribosomal RNA
Source: RNAcentral